CUACGUAGGGUGCAAGCGUUAAUCGGAAUUACUGGGCGUAAAGCGUGCGCAGGCGGUUUUGUAAGACAGUGGUGAAAUCCCCGGGCUCAACCUGGGAACUGCCAUUGUGACUGCAAGGCUGGAGUGCGGCAGAGGGGGAUGGAAUUCCGCGUGUAGCAGUGAAAUGCGUAGAUAUGCGGAGGAACACCGAUGGCGAAGGCAAUCCCCUGGGCCUGCACUGACGCUCAUGCACGAAAGCGUGGGGAGCAAACAGGAUUAGAUACCCUGGUAGUCCACGCCCUAAACGAUGUCAACUGGUUGUUGGGUCUUCAUUGACUCAGUAACGAAGCUAACGCGUGAAGUUGACCGCCUGGGGAGUACGGCCGCAAGGUUGAAACUCAAAUGAAUUGACGGGG
RNAcentral lists this ribosomal RNA (395 nucleotides) under uncultured bacterium. RNAcentral describes it as "partial 16S ribosomal RNA". It matches the Rfam family "Bacterial small subunit ribosomal RNA", at positions 523 to 918 of the family's 1533-position model. The record is from RNAcentral.